RNAcentral lists this transfer RNA (69 nucleotides) under Marmota monax (woodchuck). Its description in RNAcentral is "tRNA.Ala". Lineage: Eukaryota; Metazoa; Chordata; Mammalia; Rodentia; Sciuridae. The record is from RNAcentral.
GGAGUUGUGGCUCAGCGGUAGAGUGCCUGCGUAGCAUGCAUGAGGCACUGGGCUCAAUCCACAGUACCA